This 429-nucleotide long non-coding RNA is filed under the name Homo sapiens (human). Its description in RNAcentral is "novel transcript". The record is from RNAcentral. Lineage: Eukaryota; Metazoa; Chordata; Mammalia; Primates; Hominidae.
GGUAACUUCUUAGACCAAGUCUAGAAACAGUCUGAGGACAAUAACAAUUCCAUUCUAAAAAGAAUCUCCCAACAUUUCUUCUAUCUCAACCUCAACUGCAUCUGCCUGUGAACUUCCAGCUUACCAAGGCUCUAUAUCUUCUGGCAGUGACAAAGGCUCCUUCCAUGGUUGGUGCAUCAUAGCUGGGAAACGGAUUCACAAGACCCAGGCUGUUCCCUACAUAUGUUUCCUCCUCCGACAUCAGUUCAUCAGUCAAUCAAGCCAUGUGAGAGUGGAGGCCUUGUAUUCCCUAUUAUUCUUGGGCACUCUACUCCAAGUAGGAAAAGGCCAGGAGGUCCUGUUAAAGGAUGCACUCAGAGCCCGGGCUCCCUAACAUAUGAGAGUGCUAACCAGCAGGUGUAGACUUUUCAGGAGUGAAGAAUGAGGCAG